RNAcentral lists this ribosomal RNA (258 nucleotides) under uncultured bacterium. RNAcentral describes it as "partial 16S ribosomal RNA". It matches the Rfam family "Bacterial small subunit ribosomal RNA", at positions 524 to 781 of the family's 1533-position model. The record is from RNAcentral.
UACGGAGGUGGCAGGCGUUACUCGGAUUGAUUGGGUGUAAAGGGCGUGUAGGCGGUGGAUUAAGUCGGAUGUGAAAUCCCUUGGCUCAACCAAGGAACUGCAUCCGAAACUAUUCUACUUGAGCGACAGAGAGGAAAGCGGAAUUCCCGGUGUAACAGUGAAAUGUGUAGAUAUCGGGAGGAACACCAGUGGCGAAGGCGGCUUUCUGGCUGUCUGCUGACGCUGAAACGCGAGAGCUAGGGGAGCAAACAGGAUUAG